UCCAUCCGGAGAGGCUGCAGCCCUCGGCCUGAGGCUGAGGCUGCCGUCUCCAGGGAAGUCCAGGCCGCUGCCUGUGUGAUGGACGUGUCCGCCCUGCCGUGCCAGGGUCUGGGUCCCGAGGCCUCACGGGUCUGCUCCCGCCGCAGCGCUGGGAGCCUGGGAGGCGGAGGCCAGAGAGGCGGCCCCUCUUGUGUCUCCCGAGAUGAGAAACAUGUUCACAAGGAAACGGUCUCUCGGCUGUGCUCUUGGUGCAAACGACGUGGGCUGGAAGGGCAGCCCAGACCCUCAGAGGGGUCCCUCGUGGGGAGGGCGCAGUGCUGGGAGGUGG
Molecule: long non-coding RNA, 328 nt
Organism: Myotis brandtii (Brandt's bat)
Lineage: Eukaryota; Metazoa; Chordata; Mammalia; Chiroptera; Vespertilionidae
Exons: 3
Source: RefSeq, a predicted model, not a curated record